UCUCUGUCUCGCCUCUCUCAGCCAGAAGAAAAGAAAAACGCAAGAGAAAGGAAGAAAUUUGCGAAAGAGACCUGGACUCUCUCAGUUAGAGUUCUCAGCAGAACAAAGGAAAAGGGAAGAAAAAAAAUCUCUCGGCUCUUUCUCUCAGAUUCUCCCUCUCAUUUUUUAGCAAAUAAAACACUCCCUCUCAAAUUUUCUCUUGGACAGGGCAAGGCCAAUAAAAAUGAUUGGAGCCUGCAAUUUCAUCAAAUUUUAAUCAAGAGACUACAAUCUUCAUUGAGGUAUUUAUUCUUUUUAUCUUUUUUCCAACUUUUUCCUUUCUUUAAUUUAUUAAAUUAAAUACAUGAUUUGAUGUUUGUUUGUCCCUUGGCUUCGUUUGUUGUUGUUACUGAUGUUGUUGAAUUUUUGGGGAAUCCAUGAAUAAACAUUAAAAAAAAUGAUUUCUGUGAAUGCAUGCUAAUUGUUUAAAAAAUGUAAAAAAUGGGAAAAAUGAAUUUCAAGGGCUGUUUUGCUUUAUUUUAAUUUUUUUAAUGUUGGUUUCUUGUCAAAUAAAAUCAUAGUUAUAUUGUAGGAAUUGUAAGGAGUGUUGUAGUAUAAUUUUUAUAAUUUUUGGUAAAAGAUAAGGUGAUUUGAAAAAAUAAAAAUCGUGACUGUUUCUGGCAUUUUGACUAUCUUCGGAUUAUUUUCUGUACAAAUUAAAUCCGGAUUUGAAAUCUACUCGAAAAAUCGAGUGAAAAUGUGUGUUUUGAUAAUUUUUGGGUGACCGGAAAAAUUGCCGGCGAUCGGUAACCGGAGGCACCGUCAGCGGUAACCACGGCCACCGACAGAAUGUUGUAGGAAAAGUUGCAGAAGUUGAUUUCCGAAGCUUUGCAUGAUAAUCUGGAAAAUUUGCGGUUCAGCCCCCAACUUUCAAAUAAUUACAUUGUGGCCCAAAAGCUUUUGUAAUUGAACCAGUCAUGUCCUUAUUGAGUUUUUAUUUUUUAUUUUUUAUAUUUUAACUGCAUUUCAGGUAUGUUGUUUCUGUGAUUUGAGGGUGUAAUUAUAUUCUAAUGAUUUUGAUAGAUUUAUUAUUUUGAUUGGGUUUGAUAAAAUAAUUGGAGUUUUUUGGGUUGGGAUUUGUUUGGUUGGGUUUGGUAUAAAAUUUGGAUCAUUUUAUUGGUUUUUAGAAAUGGGUUUUGGUUUAUUUCUUGUGGGUUUGGGUUAGGCUAAGAAGUCAAAAUCCAUGUAUUUAUUUGAGUUGAUUUGAGUGAUAAAAGACGGGCUGGCCUGUGAGUUUUGGCUUGGAUUUCGGUUGGGCUAGGAGGUCAUAGCCCAUGUAUUAUUUGGUUGGGUUUGGGGAAUGGACUUUUGUUUUAUUUCUUUCGGGUUUCGGUUGGGCUAGAAGGUCAGAGCCCAUGCCUUUAUUUUGGUUGGAUCUGAGUGAUAUAAGACGGGCUGGCCUGCUCGUUUCUUUUGGGUUUCGACUGGGCUUAGGCAGUACUCGGCCCAAAUAAAUAAAUAAUGGCCCAGUGGCCUGUUUUCUUAAGAAGAUCUGCUAGCGAAUUUGCACUUCAGUCCCUGAUCUUUGGAGUAAUUUUACUGUGGCCCAGAACAUUUUAAAUUCCUUUCACUUAGGUACUUAAUUUAAUUGCACUUUGGUUCUUGAAUUUUAUCUUUCAUUUAAUUUUGACCCUUAAACUUUGGAAAAAUAUAACUUCUGUCCCUAAAAGUUUUCAAUCUUUGCAAUUCAGUCCCUGAUGAAUUUUGACUCUCUUUAUUAUGAUUGUUUCUUUUCUUUAAUAACUAAUUAUGUUAUUUUUGAACAUAUUCAACUUGCAAUUUUUAGAUGUUCUUAAAUUUCUUUGCGUUUAACAUGUUAAUGUGAAUUUAGUAUUUUAACAUUAUUAUUAUUUUCAAUUAAAGUGGUGCCAUGAUUCUUUUGUUCAUUGUGAGUAUAAAUAGGACAAUUUGACUCCAUUUAGUCACCACUUCAAACGGGAGGUACUCCUAUUUUAUUAUUUCAAUGUCAAUUACGUGUUCUUAUGUGCUCCUAUUUGUUCCUAUGUGUUUAUAUAUUUUUAUAUGCUUUAUUUACUUGAUUUAAAUAUUCAUUCAAAUUUUCUUAUAUAUGUUUUAGUUAAUUUUUAUAAUGAUUCAAGAGGCAUUUAAAUACCUCAAAAAUGUAAUAGAUAGGAUAAUUAGAUUUGUUUUAUUAUAUUUUUCCCUUCUAGAUUGUAGUUAGGCGCCCCCGAUGUAAUAGAUAGAUUGCGUGUUUAUGUGGCUUAUGUGUUAUGUGUUUUGUCCGCUUUUCUUAGGAUUUUGGCAUCUAGAUAUUAUGUUUACGUGUUAUGUGCUACGUGCUCUUAUGUGUUUAUUUGUUUCGCUAUGAAUUGUUAAUGCAUGACGUCACCACACUAGUCCAACGCUAGUUGUGGUUUCUCCCUCCGCUUACUUGCUAGUCCAACGCUAGCAAGGAUUUUUAGAAAUGGGCUAGUCCAACGCUAGACCCUUUAGGUCAUCUUGUGCUAGAUUCAUCAUUGUAUGCUAUUCACCACAUUUUCAUGCAUAUUUUCAUUUUUAGGAUCUUUUCUCAUUUGCAUGAUAUUCCCUAUUUUAUUAUCCCCUACCCGCUAUAGGUGCUAAUCAUGUCAUUUAGAAUUGCAUCCCAUUUAAGCUAGUUCAUUUGCUUGUUCAUGUUAGGAUAAUUAUUUUUCAAACAUGGGAAAUGGGUGAUUAUAACUUUCUAGUUUAAAUACCCUAUUAAUCCAUGUAUAAGAAAAUUAUGUCACGAAUUUUUUUGCCUCCCGUACCCUUUAUGUUGCAUUCCCUUUUUCUUUGAUCACUUAUAUAUAUGUAUAUAAUUUAAUUUCUUUUCUUUUAUUUUCUUUUCUUUUUCAUCAUUUGCAUCCUUGUGACACCUUCGAGGAUUUAUUUUGACCUUCGCAAUUAAUGCGAUUGGUUCAAUUAAACCCUUGAAUGAACAUGUUGUCCCUUGCGAUAUUUUUUAGAUUUGCAUUCAUAUAGAAAACAUCCAAAUGUGAUAAAUUAAGGGUUAGAUUAGGAAAAUUUUGACUAAACCUCGCAACUAGCUUAGACUAGGUUGAAAGGGUGCCUUAGAUUUGAGUUAAUCGAAUCUUUGCCUUCCCUUUCUUCAACCGUGACUCCCGAAUCCAUUUUCUCUUGUUUUCAAAGACCUGGAGUUGUCAAAAAGGGUUUUAUUUUGUUUUACUUUAUUUUUUUGGGUGACUUGGUACACCAAAACUCCAUACCAAGUGGCGACUCCUGUUUUUUUCUUAAAAACCCUUUUAGACUAAAUUUGGACCCAAAUUGUCGCAUUCUUUUUAAGUCCCAUUCUAGGUCCCUUUUAACUUGUUUAAAAAUAAAAUCAUAUCUUUUAUAAAUCUCACACUUUAUUUUUAUUUCCAUCGCGAAAAAUGGGGCGCGACAUAUAUAUUCUUUGAAUUACAACAGGUCCGGUGUGCUCUACUUUUGGUGAUAUUGUCAGGGACACUAGAUGCUUGUGUUAGUAUAGACUACUGCAUGACCUCCGCUCUCUUGGUUGUACUUCUGAGUUUUGAAAUGCUUGAGGGCAAGCAUUGUCUAGGUGUGGGGGGAUUUGAUAGAGCAGUUAUUGGGCAUAUUUUGCAGUGUUAUUUUGGCCUAAUUUUGGCUAUUUACGGUGCUAAGUACUGAGAUUUAACUCAUAUCUCACAUUCGUAUGAAUUAUAGGUGAUCGGCAUUAAAAAUGAUCUCGCGGGGUAGAUUUCCAGAAGACUUGUCGUCCCCGGGCGUGACCACGCCUUGAAAGGUGGACGAAACCGAAAGACGGACCGUGGUCCAUGUGGACCAGGCACAUGGGAUCAAAACUCCAAAAGGGAAAUGGCUUUUGUAGAAUCAAUUGCACCAGACGUUUCCUUCUUUGACUCUUCUUGGACGGCGGCUAUAAAAAGAAAAGGACAAAGCAAGAUUAAGCAUCAUCUACUUUUUAGUCUUAGGUUCUCUUUUUCUACUUUUUGGGGGAGAUUGGUCAGACGGUUCUUUUUUUUUGGUUUUUCUUUUGUUCCUUCUGCGGCUCUGGGUCAGACAUUGGAGACUUUCUCCGUUGCUGUAGCUUUUGCUUUUGGCUUCUGUACAAUUUUUCCUAUUCGACUUUUGCUUCUACUCUCGCUCCAGGGGUACGAACACGAAACCCAACAAAGGGAAGCGAAACUUUUUCAGCAGUUCCUACGUUAAUUCAUCUUUUUCAAUUCUUCGGCAAUUAAUUGAAUGAAUUCAAU
Molecule: long non-coding RNA, 4256 nt
Filed under: Coffea arabica (coffee)
Lineage: Eukaryota; Viridiplantae; Streptophyta; Magnoliopsida; Gentianales; Rubiaceae
Description: long non-coding RNA (CARA_LNC006014)
Source: RNAcentral